AGGUGCGAUCAUACCAGCACUAGUGCACCAGAUCCCAUCAGAACUCCGCAGUUAAGCGUGCUUGGGCGAGAGUAGUACUCGGAUUUGUGACUUCCUGGAAAGUCCUCGUGUUGCACCUC
RNAcentral lists this ribosomal RNA (119 nucleotides) under Glycine max (soybean). The record is from RNAcentral. Lineage: Eukaryota; Viridiplantae; Streptophyta; Magnoliopsida; Fabales; Fabaceae.